This 504-nucleotide ribosomal RNA is filed under the name uncultured bacterium. Its description in RNAcentral is "partial 16S ribosomal RNA". It matches the Rfam family "Bacterial small subunit ribosomal RNA", at positions 30 to 523 of the family's 1533-position model. The record is from RNAcentral.
AUUGAACGCUGGCGGCAGGCCUAACACAUGCAAGUCGAACGGUAGCACAGAGAGCUUGCUCUCGGGUGACGAGUGGCGGACGGGUGAGUAAUGUCUGGGAAACUGCCCGAUGGAGGGCGAUAACUACUGGAAACGGUAGCUAAUACCGCAUAACGUCGCAAGACCAAAGUGGGGGACCUUCGGGCCUCACACCAUCGGAUGUGCCCAGAUGGGAUUAGCUAGUAGGUGGGGUAAUGGCUCACCUAGGCGACGAUCCCUAGCUGGUCUGAGAGGAUGACCAGCCACACUGGAACUGAGACACGGUCCAGACUCCUACGGGAGGCAGCAGUGGGGAAUAUUGCACAAUGGGCGCAAGCCUGAUGCAGCCAGGCCGCGUGUAUGAAGAAGGCCUUCGGGUUGUAAAGUACUUUCAGCGGGGAGGAAGGCGGUGGAGUUAAUAACUUCACCGAUUGACGUUACCCGCAGAAGAAGCACCGGCUAACUCCGUGCCAGCAGCCGCGGUAA